This is a non-coding RNA of Pelobates cultripes (western spadefoot toad), 3689 nucleotides long. NCBI's taxonomy places the organism in Eukaryota, Metazoa, Chordata, Amphibia, Anura, Pelobatidae. The record is from the annotation of a GenBank genome assembly.
GGUGACUCCCACUCCGAAGCUCCCUGAUUCAAGUCUUGGACGGCAGCAGCAGGAAAUUGCCAGCAGAGUGAUCGGGUGCCAGAUUUCACACUUCAGGGUUAAUCCUUGAGGUAAGUCGGUGCCCGGAACCUCUCUGCACCAUAGCAACUUCAUUCUAAUGAUGUUGUGAUACUGCCCAGGAAGAUCCUUUAAAUACAACGAUAUUUAAAAAAAAAAAGGUUAAUUGGUUACAUGGGAUCCUUGUAGACAGAGUAUAGAGCUGAACCAUGACUAGUAGAUAGAGUAUAUGAAUAAUUCUUAAACAUUGUUAAACAAGGAGAAAUAAAUGAGGUAUAAUUUAAAAGUGAGUGAUACUGUAAUAUCCCUAGACAUGCUGGAACAAGCUGUACAAUGUAAUUAAAGUUAGCAUUUUCAUGACAGUAUGAAUUUCCUUUAAAUUCAGUGUGUAUAUACGUAAUGGAAGUCUCUGAGUAUUUAAUCCCCUAUAACUCAUCUGGCAUCUUCAAAUGCAUACCAAGAAAUAGACAAGCAGCCAGACAAACAUACAAUCAUAGUGUGCGGUAAAGAAAGGUGUCAAAAUGAAUAGAUUAUGUUGACUGACAUUCUUAACGACAAGUCUUAUUAGCUCAGCCACAUGUAGCAAACUAUAAGUAACCAAUGAGAGAUGAUACACACACACCCACACACACACACACAGAUAGAGACAUAAAUAUAGAUAGAUAGAUAGACAGACAGACAGAGAUAGAGACAGAGAUAUAGACAGGCAGACAGGGAGAUAGAUAGAUAGACAGGCAGACAGAGAGAUAGAUAGAUAGCUACCUGGUGCUCAGCAACACUGCACAUAUAGUAGGACAAGAUACCUGGUAUAUAUAUCUAUAUAUAUGUAUAUACACUUCAAUACUUAUUGUAAGCUCAGAAUCAGCCCAGUAAAAGUGUUUAAUGUAAGCUUUUCAUUCACUAUAAUGUGAUAUUUAGGUCAUGAAAUAAAAAAUAUGGUUGAAAUUCCUAUCUAAACACCUUUCUACCUGAAGGAAAAAUGCAGCAUUUAUUGAAGUUGGCUUGUUUUUGCCUCAAGGAGAAUCAGACCAGACACCUGGCUCGACCCUGAGUUUACAACUAAGGCUAUAGGUUCCAGGGCUUCUGGACCUUCCCAGGCCUGGUAUAACGGGAGCAAUUCCUGUUCACCCGAUGGAAAUUUAGAAUCCUGAAAAAAGGGAAGAUCUGCCACAGCAUGAACUGGGAAGAAUAUCACGGAGGAAGGCUUCAUGAUCAUCUGAAGAGGAGGAAAAAUGUUGCUGGUGGUUUUCACCUAGCAUGUCUGAACAGUUUUGGACUUAAAGUUUUUGGUCCUUACAGUUUUUGGUCCUCUCGUGAGGAUGAGGGUUUUACAGUAGACAGAUGUCUUGCAACGGCUCCUAAAGUUUCCUAAACUCCUAGUUUUAAAGUUUAGUGGUCAUCGCUCAAAAAGAAAAAUCUUCUGUAGUAUAACCAUCUGUGGAAAACAGGCCUACAAGCUCUCUGUGCUCCUUGCACAAGCUGCAUUAUCAAAAUUUUGAGUAUAUAUAAUGCUUUUUCUGUGUAACGCAUCAGCAGUGAUUCCUGUUACCAGUUAGUAACCCUACCAUUCAGUUGUGGUAUCUUGAUUAGUAAAUACACUGAUCAGCCAAACAUUAAAACCAUCUGCCUAAAGUUGUGUAGGUCCCUCUCGUGCUGCCAAAACAGCUCUGAUGCGUUGAGCCAUGGACUCCACAAAAUCUAUGAACGUGUCCUGUGUUCUCAGGCACCAAGACAUUAGCAAAAAAAUAAGUCUUGCAAGUUGUGAGGUUGGACCUCCAUGGAUCAGAUUAGUUGUUCCAGUAUAUCCCACAGAUUCUCAACCAGAUUGAGAUCUUGAGAGUAGGCAGGUCAAGGUAACACCUUGAACUAUUUCUUAUGUUACUCAAACCAUUCCUUAACGAGGGCUGUAACUAAUUAAUAGCAGAUAACUGAGCAGUGAGACUGCAGGGGUAUGAUCUAUACACCAAAACUGCUUCAUUAAGCUAACGUUGUUUUGGUGCCUAUAGUGUCUCUUUACAUUUUUCGGCAAUUUGAGCUACAGUAGCUUUUCUGUGUGAUCAGACCAGACAGGCUAGGCUUCGACCCUCCUACGUGCAUCAGUGAGCCUUGGACACCCAUAACCCUGACACUGGUUCGCGAGUUGUCCUUCCUUGCAUCACUUUCUGUAGGUACUACCUGCAUGCUGGGAAUAUCCCACAAGUCGUCUAACCAUCACUAUUUGGCACUUUUGAAAGUCACUCAGAUCUUUGCACUAGCCCAUUUUUUUGCUUCCAACAAUUCAAGGGAAAUUCAAGAACUGACAAAUAUGUCACUCGCUGUCUAAUAUAUCCCACCCCUUGACAGGCGCCAUUGUAAUUAUAUAAUUAAUGUUAUUUCACCAGUUUUACUGUUGUGGGUGAUUAGUGUAAACCAGUUUCUGUAAACAAUGGGACCAGUUGAGAGCAUGCAGGGACCUUAUGGAGGAAUCUCCCUUUAAGAAACAUAUAAUGAUUGCAAUUAUGUAUUUCUUUUUAAAUAAGAAUAGUGAUUAUUUUUUUAGACAAUUUCACUUUUUUUUACCCAGCUGAUCGGCCAUGUUGGAUCAUUCUUUAUGGUUAUCUGACCGACUGCUGCUGAACCUAACGUGCCAGCUGCAGACAUGUCACACAGAGCUAUCACUGCAGCAGGGUGAGUUUUUCUUUUCUUUUUACAUUCUUUAUCUUUUGAGUGCAGGGUUAAUAGAUAUGGGUAAUCAUCUUAUCGCGCUUUUUUUUUUUUUGUGAACCAUAUAAAUAAUCAGAAAUAUACAUUGCUGAAAAAACCCUAAGAGAAAUUACAUACAAUACAUAAGACUCUGCAUAACACUUCUGCUAUGUGUGACAUUUUUAAUCCUCCAUCUGACGCCCUCAACCAACGCUGCCCAUGGACCACAGCAAUACGUCCCUGAAAGCAGGGGAGGGCUGGCAGCCAUAGACCAGGGGGGCAAAUCCAGUCAAGUGGCCCAGUGCACCCCCGAAUUAGCUCACCAUCCAUGCCCACCUUUUCCUGGUUUUAUAACGGAUAUUGAUGUUAUGCUAAUCAGUAGCUCUUUGCCAUACCUGCUCCUUCACAGCUCUGACUUUCAAUGUUGUCAGAGUGCAGGCUUAGAAUCUCUGAGCCUGUGCUCCGACUCACUAACUGAGCACCGGAACCACGAGGGAGAGGCUAUAAUCUGACUGCACCUACUGCUGGUGCGCACCAGUGGACCACCAGCGAAUCGUUUAAAUUGAAUAUGCUGGUGUACCCAACUUGGGAGCUGUGUUGGCCGCCGGGUGCCUCUGUUGUCAUGGCAUCCUGUGUGACCGCAAAGCUUGCACAGCCCAAAGGCUGGCCCUGCUGACAGAGACACUGGCACUCACUCUCAAUAACACACACACACUGGGACGGACCGCCAUCACUAAGUACCAUGCCCACUGCAUAUUCAUGUGUUUUUCCCUUGUAUUGUGUGGUCCCUCUGUGUUUCCCCAUGUAUUUCUAUGCCUUUUGUAUAUUGUGCCUGUAUAUGCAGCAGCUAUAGAAGUGAAAUUUAUUGCUGUCUGUGUCUUUCCCACUUUCCCCCUCUUUUCUUGUCACAGCAGGACGCUGCCACAGAGACACUGCCAGCCCAGUUUAAC